UCGUACGAGACUUUUUAUUUGAUGCUUGCAUCUUUUAAAAAGUUGAGUGGCUAACGGGUGAGUAACACGUGGGUAACCUACCUUAAAGUGGGGGAUAACACUUGGAAACAGGUGCUAAUACCGCAUAACCAUCAAAACCGCCUGGUUUUGAUGUUAAAGAUGGUUCUGCUAUCGCUUUAAGAUGGACCCGCGGCGUAUUAGCUAGUUGGUGAGGUAACGGCUUACCAAGGCAAUGAUACGUAGCCGAACUGAGAGGUUGAUCGGCCACAUUGGGACUGAGACACGGCCCAAACUCCUACGGGAGGCAGCAGUAGGGAAUCUUCCACAAUGGACGAAAGUCUGAUGGAGCAACGCCGCGUGAGUGAAGAAGGUUUUCGGAUCGUAAAACUCUGUUGUCAGAGAAGAACGUGUGUGAGAGUAACUGUUCACGCAGUGACGGUAUCUGACCAGAAAGUCACGGCUAACUACGUGCCAGCAGCCGCGGUAAUACGUAGGUGGCAAGCGUUGUCCGGAUUUAUUGGGCGUAAAGGGAACGCAGGCGGUCUUUUAAGUCUGAUGUGAAAGCCUUCGGCUUAACCGAAGUCGGGCAUUGGAAACUGGGAGACUUGAGUGCAGAAGAGGAGAGUGGAACUCCAUGUGUAGCGGUGAAAUGCGUAGAUAUAUGGAAGAACACCAGUGGCGAAAGCGGCUCUCUGGUCUGUAACUGACGCUGAGGUUCGAAAGCGUGGGUAGCAAACAGGAUUAGAUACCCUGGUAGUCCACGCCGUAAACGAUGAAUGCUA
Molecule: ribosomal RNA, 782 nt
Filed under: uncultured bacterium
Lineage: Bacteria
Description: bacterial SSU rRNA
Rfam family: Bacterial small subunit ribosomal RNA
Source: RNAcentral